Potamilus streckersoni is the source of this 74-nucleotide non-coding RNA. NCBI's taxonomy places the organism in Eukaryota, Metazoa, Mollusca, Bivalvia, Unionida, Unionidae. The record is from the annotation of a GenBank genome assembly.
CACUCCGGUGGCCUAGCGGUUAGAGCGUCCAUCUCUGAUGCGGAAGAUCACGGAUUCGAACCCCGGCCGAGUCA